This 94-nucleotide transfer RNA is filed under the name compost metagenome. Its description in RNAcentral is "tRNA-Gly". The record is from RNAcentral.
GGCGACGGUGGCUAAAUCGAUUCGCCGCAGCCUGUUUGCCGCGUUGGCCGGCUUUGCUGUUUUGCUGUGCCUGUGCUACACGGGCCUGUCGCUG